UAGGGAAUCUUCCACAAUGGACGAAAGUCUAAUGGAGCAACGCCGCGUGAGUGAAGAAGGGUUUCGGCUCGUAAAACUCUGUUGUUAAAGAAGAACAUAUCUGAGAGUAACUGUUCAGGUAUUGACGGUAUUUAACCAGAAAGCCACGGCUAACUACGUGCCAG
RNAcentral lists this ribosomal RNA (164 nucleotides) under uncultured bacterium. RNAcentral describes it as "partial 16S ribosomal RNA". It matches the Rfam family "Bacterial small subunit ribosomal RNA", at positions 355 to 511 of the family's 1533-position model. The record is from RNAcentral.